GAUGAACGCUGGCGGCGUGCCUAAUACAUGCAAGUCGAGCGAACGGACGAGAAGCUUGCUUCUCUGAUGUUAGCGGCGGACGGGUGAGUAACACGUGGAUAACCUACCUAUAAGACUGUGAUAACUUCGGGAAACCGGAGCUAAUACCGGAUAAUAUUUUGAACCGCAUGGUUCAAAAGUGAAAGACGGUCUUGCUGUCACUUAUAGAUGGAUCCGCGCUGCAUUAGCUAGUUGGUAAGGUAACGGCUUACCAAGGCAACGAUGCAUAGCCGACCUGAGAGGGUGAUCGGCCACACUGGAACUGAGACACGGUCCAGACUCCUACGGGAGGCAGCAGUAGGGAAUCUUGCGCAAUGGGCGAGAGCCUGACGGAGCAACGCCGCGUGAGUGAUGAAGGUCUUCGGAUCGUAAAACUCUGUUAUUAGGGAAGAACAUAUGUGUAAGUAACUGUGCACAUCUUGACGGUACCUAAUCAGAAAGCCACGGCUAACUACGUG
This 497-nucleotide ribosomal RNA is filed under the name uncultured bacterium. RNAcentral describes it as "partial 16S ribosomal RNA". It matches the Rfam family "Bacterial small subunit ribosomal RNA", at positions 28 to 507 of the family's 1533-position model. The record is from RNAcentral.